Molecule: RNA transcript, 7191 nt
Organism: Onychostoma macrolepis
Lineage: Eukaryota; Metazoa; Chordata; Actinopteri; Cypriniformes; Cyprinidae
Gene name: trichohyalin
Exons: 35
Source: RefSeq, a predicted model, not a curated record
UACACUUGUGAAGCGGGAGAGAGAGGCGGCGGAGCGGGCGUUUAGAAAUGAUGAGAAAGUAACAGUGCAGAGAUUUCAGUCUUUAUAUUGACUGUUGUCAAAAACGUCUGCAGCUUGGACAAGAUGAAAUCUGCGUGAACAGUCAUCAAAUCACGAGACACGGGUGAAAUGAGGCACUGUCUGUGUAACUGCAGUGCAACAGUCGUUUGAGUUAUGAUGGAAGCCAUCCAGGAUGCCGCACAGGAACAGCCUGAGAAGCCUAAAACCAAAGUGGAGGAGCGAGAGGCUCUGAUCCUGGAACUACAGGAUGUCAUCACUGAGCUACACCAGGAGAUGUCUCUGAAAGAACAGCACGAGCUCCAGCAGCUUAAACAGCUCCUUCAGCUGGAGGCCAGAGUCAAAGAGCUUCAAGAGCAGGUGCAAGGUUCAGAGGAGACUAUAGCUCAGCUGAGACUAGAGCUGGCUGAGAAAGCAGAGAGCAGCAGCACCACGCUGAAUGUCGCUUCCACUCAUCUCACCACCCUCAGAGGAACAGAGCUGUUGAAAAGUGAGUUGUCACGUCGGGACGCGAGCAUCCAAAGACUCCGGCAAGACCUGCUCCUCUCUCAUCAGGCCCGUGACGCCCAGAGCGUUCAGCUGGACGUCCAAGAGCAGAGACUGUGGGAUCUGCAGAGAGAGCUGCAAGUAAGCCAGCAGGAGCUCCAGAGGGGACACGACUGCAACCAGAAGCUGCACAGGCAGCUACAAGAUGCCAGGAAGCAAGAUCAGGAGCUGCAGGUUCAGCUCUCAGAGGUGAAACGGAAUCUGGUGAAGCAGCAACUGGAGAAUGAAGCUCUUCUGGGAAUCAAACGACACCAGGCCACUAAGGUGGACAGAGUCACUGCGGAGUUUGGCUUGGUUCGGUCCACGGCGGAGCAAAAGAGCAAAGAGGCCCAAGAAGCUAGGAAGAAAUGCCACGAACUGGAGAAUGAGCUGUCUGUUGUCCGAGCCCAGCUGAGCCGGUGCCGGGAAGGGACGCGGGGUGCCAAAAACACAGCUGAGCAGAUCCAGCGGCUGGAGGAGGAAGUGUCCAGGCUGAAAUCUCAGCAUAGUUCAGUCAGUCAGCAGGAAUGGUGUCGGCUCCGGAGGGCACAAGAGGAUCUGAAAGCGAGAGAAGAGGAGUGGAAGAAAGAGAGAUCCUUCCUUCAAGAGCAGCUCGAUGGCGUCAGAGAGGAGCUCCACCGCGCCAACCUCAGGGAAGAAGAGCAUCGGCUGAAAGUGCUGCAGAUUGAUGAACUCCAAAGAGAGGUUGACAAGACGCUGGCAUUGCUUGAAAAGGAGAGAGAGGAUUGUGUAAAGGCCGAGGAGCUGGAACGACUGAGAGAAGAGCAACUCAAGGACAAGGUCAGGCAUCACGAAGAGCUGAUCCCAGAGCUGCAGAAAGAGCUGGAAAAGGCUGGAUUUGACCAGAAGGAGAAAGAGCUGAAGGAAUGGAAAGAGCGCUGGUACUCCGUCUCAGAGAGCCUCCGGCACGCACACACACAGCUCCAGCAGGCCCAGGACAGUCUGGAAAUACAGCAGGAGAUCAACCGCAGCCUGCAGGAUGAUGUAGACAAGCUCCGUACUGCGCUAGUGGAAGAGCAGUCCACAGUCUCCAGGCUGCAGCAUGAGCUACAGGAAGCAGAACAUCAGAGGGAUCUCCUGGACUCCAGGGCAGCUGAGCUGAACUGUGACAUCCAGCUGAAAGACUGCAGGCGGCUCGCUGAGCAGGACGAGGUGUCCAGUAGAGAUGAGACGGUUCUGAGACUGACAGCAGACCUGCGGGCCGCUCAGGAGAAUCUGACCGCUGCACAAGAGGAGCUGGCAGAGCAGAUGCAGAAGGUCACGUCUAGGGAAGAGGAGGUUGUGGCUCUGCAGAAGGAGGUGCGCAGACUUCAGGAGAUCCUGAAACAGAGAGAAGAUAUGAUGGAGAAGAGCAAACACAGCACGACACAGCUCAAGCGAGAGACAGACUCCCUUUACAGACAGUGUGAAGUCCAAAAGGAGGAGCUGUGUGAUCUGCGUGAGGUGGUGCAGCAGUGGCAACAGGAGGCGCAGAAACAGAAGGAGAGCCGGGUGAAGGAGGUGCAGGCCCUUAAGGAAGAGCUGCAGAGCACACAAAGCCAUCUGCAGACGCACAGAGAUAACCAGGAGAGUCUGUGCCGAGAGCUGGAGACGUCCCACAGACAACAGAGAGACACGGAGGAUGAGGCCUCCUGCAGGGCGGCAGCUCUCCGCAGUCAGGAUGCAGACUUGAUUGAGCUGAAGGCAGGUCUACUGGAGGCUGAGAAACUGGCCACGGACGCAGAGGCCCGACUGCAACCUCUUAGCGAAUCCCUCGAGCUCUGCAAACACAAGUACCAGGCCUGCCUCAGCAAGAUCGCACAACUGGAGAACACACUGCAUGGCCGCGAGGAGGACCUGAAAGAAGCCCACAGUCAGGUGGCACAAAGGGAAGAGCAGGUCCUCCGUCUGAGGGCUCAGGUUGUAGCUCUGCAGGGGGAUCUGCAGGUACACUGCGCCCAGCUGGAGAGUGGAGACGAUGCCCUCACCACUCUGAGCCAGCAGCUCCGAGACACACUGGGAGAGCUGGAGCACAGCCGUAAACACAGCCAGGAAUGUGAGCUGCUCAUCAGCACUCUCAGAGACACCGCUGCUACUCUUCACCGACAGGCUGAAGAGCAAGAAGAGACGGUAGUGAAGACACAGGCUGAUUUCUCCAUCUACCGGGCCACUCACGUUCACUCCGACUCAGACUACGAAUCCCAGCUGUCCCGCGUUCAGGAAUUGGAGCACGCACUGUUCCAGUCGUUGGAGCGCUGUGGUCAGAGCACCCAGGAAUUGAGGGUUUGCCAGCUGGAGUUGGCACGGCACCGAGAUUCCAGUACGGCAGAGGUGCAGCGGCUGCAGGAACAGGUGAGAAAGCUCCAGGCGGAUGCAGCAGAUGAGGGCCAGAGACGAGCACAAGUUGAUUCCCUGGAACAGAAGGUAGCCAAUCUGGAAGGAGAGCUACAGGCAGCUCAAAGGCAGUGUGAUCAGGCUAUCCAGAAGAGAGACGCCCUACUGAGACAGUCCGAGGCUGAUCUUCUGCAGGCGCGGGAGAAGAUCCGAAGGAAGGUGGCGGAGGCAGAGAGGCAGGCCGUCUCUGCUCGAGGGCUGGAUGCUGAUCUGCAGAGAGCCAAGAAAGAGAAAAGGCAGAGGGAGAAAGAGUGCGCCUCACUCAAAACACAGAUGCUUCAGCUCAGAGAACAACUGAAGGAGGCUCAUGCCACCUGCAGAGACACGGCCCAGGAGCUGAUGCAGCAGCAGGAGAAAGAGCAGCUGUUGGAGAGAGGUCAGCGUCUGGCUCAGGAGCAGCUCUCAGAGCGUGUGGCGGAGGUGGUGCGGGCAGAGAAAGCCCAAAGGAGACUCCAGGCAGAGCUCAAGAGAAUAACAGAGUGUCUGGAAAGCACUCAACUGGAGCUCCAGGACUCACGGAGGAUGCUGGAGCGUGUGAAGACAGAGGCCAGCAGCAGCAGACAGGAAGCCCUGAGACUCCAGCAGGAGAAACAGCAGAUCCAGGAAGAGCUGGACAUCAGCAGAGAGACCAUCGCAGCUUUGCAGACUAAGCUGCGUGAACAGGAGAAGCUUCUAAACACACAUCAGGAGCGUGUUUCUGAGCUGCAGCUCACCAUCCACAGACUGCAGGAAGAGGAAGUGAACAGCCAGACUCAGCUGCAGCUGUGCAGGAGAGAUUUGGAGAUCAAAGAUGAACAAGUGCAGAAGCACUACCAAGAGAUGAGCGUUCUGCAGGCUACAGUGUCCAGGCUGAAGCUGGGUCUGGAGCAGGAGCGGGAGAGGUGGCGGCAGGGGAUACAAGAGGCAGCCAAGGCCGAUCAGAGAGGGAGAGAGCUGAGACUGGAGCUCAGCACAGCACAGGCCUCCCAUAAAGAGUAUAUGGAGCUGCUGGCUGAGUACAGUCGAGAGGUGACGGCCCAGAGGAGUGAGCAGGCCCGUCUGCAGCAGUGCCUGAUCCAGCUGACAGAGGAGAGGACGACUCAGGAGGAGCGAGUCAGACAGAUGAGCGCAGAUCUACAGAGAGCGCACAACGAGAGCAGGUGCUCUCAAGAGGAGGCUCGGGCGUGUGAGGGGCGACUGGUGGAGCUGCACACCCAGCUGACGCGCUCACAGCAGCAGAUGACGGCCCUGCAGGCCAGAGACGAGGACGUGCUCAUGCUUAAGAUGGAGAUGGCCUCUCUCAGAGACAACUACACUGCUAAAGUAGCUCAGGUCGAGGCUUUGCUCUCACAGAUGGACGCUGUCAAUCAGAAGUACAGUGCAGCUGUGUGUGAGGCCGAUGUUCUGCGGCAGUGUUUAGGAGACGCACGGAGUGACAGCUCUCGACUUCACAGGGAAAGUGAGCUAGUCGUGACUAAUGUGAACCAGUGGGUGAAGGAGCAAAACAUCAUGGUUCAUUGUGACAGCAGCUCGCAGCUUCCUCACUGCAGCCCAUUAUCUCUGCCCCUGCUCCACUCCAGGCACACUAAUGAGAAACUGGCACUCAAGAUCAAAGACCAGAGCAGGAAGAUCAUCCACCUGACAGCUGAGAGAGAUCACCUUCAGGAGAAUGUGAAGGGUUUACAGGGGGAAAUCAGGAGGCUGAAAGCAGAGCUGGAUAAAGAGAGAAUGGAAGCAGAGCGACUGAAGAGGGCAUAAGGCUCGACUAAAAACCUUGAUGAACUGUUGAAGAAUAAGAGUGCUCAUUAUAUCUGGGGAACGUGCCGUAGAAUGUGUCGGUAGCCUUUGACCUUUCAUCUUCCACGCAACAGUGGUCAGACCUUCAGAGCUCUCAGAAAUCAAAAGCAGAGUGAAGAAUGAGGCCGAGGAAGAAGAAAGCACUUCCUGACCACCAGUGCUAGUCAGUGCCUGAUCGACGCGGAUGGCUAUAGAACUGUUUUCUGCAAACAAACACACUCUUGGAUCCUUUCUUCAUCAAUGACUCGGUGAUUAUCAAAUGAUGACUGAUAAUGACCUUACGACAGAUAAAUGAUUGACAGCCCAAAUAGCCAAUGAAAUCAAUUUGCCGACUUCUGUCCAUCAAGCUCACUGAAUUGUAUGUCAUACAAUCCACUAUCUGUCUCCAGCAUUAUGGUAAAAAGGUCUUGUUACGGUGCAUGUAAUUCAGAUAACAGGUAUGCUGAGAGGCUAGUGAAUGGAGUUUUGUUUGUUCCAUUCCUGAAACCAGUCAUUAGUCUCGAGAAAAAAAGAAGAAAAAAAGCACUAAACUUCUGAAUGAUUGUCCAAAACAUCUCUAUGUUUGCACAAAGGAAAGGAAUAGUACAAUACAGUGUGAUAAAUGUUUACAAAUAGGGGAAACAUUAUGUUCCUGGUCAAUUUGUUGAAGUUGUAGAAAAUACUGAUUUGCUUUGGAUGUUUUUACUUGAAAUUGUGUGAAUAUUUGUCAGUUAAGGUCUUUAACAUGCUCACAAAGUUUCGACACUUUGACCUAAAUUUCAUGGUUAAAGGCAGGUGCACAGACCCAAAAUAGUUAAUGCUUAUGAUUUUUGGAGCUUUUUGUUAAUGCCAUGCUCUACUGUUUGAGCUUCAGAAAAGCACACACACAAAAAAAUUAAAAUACUGUUUAUAAUGUUCACAUUUUGUGAAAAACAGAUGUUUAAAAAAAAAAAAAAAAGUUUACUUUUUACUCAUGUUUACUUUUUUUGUAAUGUGUAAAAAAUAUUAAUGUUAAAGGUGUUUUUUUUUUUAGGUGAUGUUAUUUUUGGUUGAUUGUGUUGAAUCCAUUUAGGACCAGUUUACUCAGAAUAUAACGAUUACAUCCAGAAUAUUAACAUAAUACAAGGGAUAAAAAGCACUCGUCGUUCUUUAGGACAUUGACAUUCAUUCAUUUUACAGUUUGCUCCAUUAAAUAGAAAGACCACAUAUAUGCAGCCAAAAUUAGCUUUAAGAAAAACAAAAAUGCAUAUGUCCUCUUUGCAUCUGCAAAAAGUGUCCAUUAAAUAAUUUUCCUAUUUAUUAAUGUCAAUAUUUAUGUCAACUGUCUGACUUCUUCACACUUGGCUAGAUUUUCCUUUGUAAUUUCACUAUUUUCUCAUCUUCUACAUUUAGCAUUUCAGCUUAAUAACCUGAUACAAAAGCAUGUGCUUUCUUUUUUUCUGCACAAUGAUUUGAGGUAAUUUAUUCCAAAAUCAUCAGGUACAUCAUUCGCAUUGUCAUUUUGUUUGAAGGAUAUAGAGUACACCCACCCUUGGAAAGUAGAGGCAGUAAGUAAUUGCUGUCGUAAGGUCAUUUGGGUCACUAUACCUCGCUGAUACAGCUUAAAACAUGUCUAAGAUGGUUUGCUGGUCUAAGCUGAUUUAGGAUUACCUCUCAGGCUGACCAAGCUGGUCUUCAACUGGUCUCUUCCAGCCUGACCAGCCAAAAAAAUACCUAAAACCACACUGGGAAGCUUGUUAAAACCAGCAGACAGUCUUCAUACUGCUUUAAGCUGUUUUUCCUACCUUAGCCAUCAAGACUUUCUUGGUCAACCAGCUUCACCAGCACCUAAGAAAACCUGGACCAGCUCAAGAAUUCAUGUCUAAACUGGACUUUUGGUCUGGGUACUCAUCGUAAAAAUGAUUACAAUCUCAUCUGUUGAUGAAACCUGAUUCAUUUCUGAAUAGCUCUGCACUAAGUAUCUGAUGCCCCUCAUGUUCGUUUAUAUAUUGACAUCAGCUGCUGAUUUAUUUUUGUCUUUCAAAUUAAAUUUGUUGACAUGCAAUACUUCAUUUUUAAUGAACGUUCUACUGUGAAUUUUGUGCCUAGUUACAUUUCUAGUUUACAGAGAUGAAUGAGAGUGUGAAUUGUAAUGGCAGGUAAAGUUUCAAUGCUGCUUCUGUCAUAGUUUGUGGUUUAAAAAUGUUAAAGGUAAUGCUUGUAUUUGUACAUUAAUCAAUCAUGUAAUAAUGCCUCGUAUGACUGAUAGCCUAAUACCUAACAUUUUAAUGGAUUUCACGGAGAAGGCAAUGAAAAGAUUUCAGUGAUGUGUCGUACUAUUCAGCCAGCAACAUUAAUAGCACUUUUAAAUGAUUAAAUAAUGUCAUGCCUUAUUCACUAUGUCAUCAUGCAUUUCCUAUAAACACAAAUCAGUCAAUAAAUGUGAUACAUGUUUGUAUUUGGCAGCUUUUUUUUAACUAG